Molecule: long non-coding RNA, 482 nt
Organism: Parus major (Great Tit)
Lineage: Eukaryota; Metazoa; Chordata; Aves; Passeriformes; Paridae
Exons: 2
Source: RefSeq, a predicted model, not a curated record
ACACCGCGCUGCCCCGGCUGCUGUGACAGCGCACAGCUCAGUCUGAGCGCACAUUGCCACCUGUCCUCGUCCGCAGAGAAGUCCUGGCUCUGGAACACCGUGAAAAUACCUCCCCGAUGGACUCACCCGAGCGCCGGAUCGCCCGUGGAGGGCUGGGGAGAAGGAAGGCACCGAGAGGUCGGCAGGGACACGCAGGUUUGUAGUCAAGCUUGGACUCCAGCUUCUUGGAAUCAGCCACUUUCCUGACAGCUUUCAUAAAAUCUUCCUGAACUACGAAGUCAUGAUCAGCACGGAUUGCAAACAUCCCUGGGAGGGAGGAUUUAACAGAAGAUAGAACAUGAAGUUUCACUCAAAAUCAAAUGAAAACUAAUCCAGGUUACACUGUCUGCAUGUGGACUUUCCCAUGUCUUGGAUGCUGGCAAGAGGGAAUUCCCCUUUCUGAACUAGGGGAUUACUAAAAAGAAAACUUGUUUGAACUCUGA